CGGCAGGUGGCGUUGCGAUUAGCGCUGCUGCCUUGCAAAUGACGGACGUGGGUUCAAGUCCCACCUCCUGCUGA
RNAcentral lists this transfer RNA (74 nucleotides) under Scleropages formosus (Asian bonytongue). Its description in RNAcentral is "tRNA-Ala". The record is from RNAcentral. Lineage: Eukaryota; Metazoa; Chordata; Actinopteri; Osteoglossiformes; Osteoglossidae.